This is a long non-coding RNA of Gouania willdenowi (blunt-snouted clingfish), 1660 nucleotides long. The record is from Ensembl. Lineage: Eukaryota; Metazoa; Chordata; Actinopteri; Blenniiformes; Gobiesocidae.
UAUGCACCCCCCAACCAGUAAUAAUAAACACCAGAAGUCACAACAUGCAAGUAGCUCAACCUCCCUUCCAACUACCUCGUGUAGCUAAAGCUAGAGUGGUUGCUGGUCUGAUUGGGAAAAAGGCCCUAGUUCAGAGUUAUUUAAAUGGAUUAGCAGUUGCCUCAUUGCUCGAUUCGGGGUCACAAGUUAGUAUAAUCAGCCGUGCCUGGAAAGAUGAAUAUCUACCUGACCUCAGUAUUCACCCAGUUUCUGAGAUCUUAGGUGAGGAGGAACUGAAGGUCAUUGCAGCAAAUGGUGGCCUCAUUCCAUAUGAUGGGUGGGUAGCUAUUACAGUGAACUUGCCAGGGAAUUUGGAUCCUAAUAUGUCAAUUAGUGUUCCAUUUCUGAUCAGCAGCUAUCCCACAGAUAAACCACUGAUUGGCUUUAAUGUUUUGGAAGUGUUAAUCAGUGGCCAACCAGAGAGGCUAAUGCCGGUACUUACUAACCUUCUCAGUAAUGCCAUAUCUGUCCCCAACGAAACAGCUAAAACUCUUGUCAGCUUUGUUCAGACAGCAAAAUCAGUCAUGCAGCAGGGACGAUUAAGAACAGGGGCCAAAAACAUUGUACUCCCAGCUAGGCAAGUGUCAUGGGUGAAAUGUCGGGUUCCAUCAAAUAUGGAUGCCUCCACUCGGCUGGUGUUUUUUGAAACAGAUGAGGACACCCUGUCAGCUGAACAAUGGAAUACAGGUCCAGGUUUGUUAGAGAUCCAGAAUCCAACAAAGCCCUAUGUCACCAUUCCAGUAUGUAACAAUACUAACCAUGACAUCACAAUAUCAGGCAAAACCACUCUAGGAAUCCUGCAGCAUAUUGAAAAUGUGGUGGAGGCAGAUACCUUGGACAAAUCACAGCCUGCUGCGAUUGUAAGGGAAGUCACCACGACUCGAAUCAGCAGCUCAGACUCAUCCCUGUGGAACCCACCGGUGAAGCUUGACCACCUGGAGGAGGAACAGCAGGAGGCUGCAAAAAAGAUGCUGCAUGAGGAGUCAAACGCCUUUGCGAGGGACGGAAAUGACAUUGGCUGUAUUCCAAAUCUGCAAAUGGUCAUCAACCUCAAAGACAAUAUUCCUGUACAGAGAGCGUACACAUCCAUCCCUAAACCACUGUUCAAAGAGGUAAAAGAAUACAUCCAAGAUCUUCUUGUAAAGGGAUGGAUAGUAAAAUCGAAGUCUUCCAAUUCUGCCCCAGUAGUGUGUGUACGGAUGGCACUUUGCGCCUCUGUAUAGACUACCGCCUCUUAAACCAAAAAACUGUACCGGACCGACAUCCACUGCCAAGGAUACAGGAUUUGACAGACACGCUCGGUGGAUAUUCAAUGUUCAGCAUACUCGACCAAGGUAAAGCUUAUCACCAAGGGUUUGUAGCAGAAGAUUCACGCCAUCUCACUGCCUUCAUUACCCCCUGGGGGCUUUAUGAAUGGACAAGAAUCCCAUUUGGACUUUCAAAUGCACCUGCAGCAUUCCAGAGGAGCAUGGAGGAAAUGCUAGGCCCCCUUAGAGAUGAGUGUUGCAUUCCGUACCUGGAUGACCUACUGUGCUACUCCAGAUCUUUCAUUGACCAUGUUGAGGUGACCCGCAAGGUUCUCCAAGCACUACAGCACCAUGGGGUGAAGUUAAGAGCAGAG